AGAAUCAACGCUGGCGGCGUGCCUCAGACAUGCAAGUCGAACGCGAAAGUCCCCUUCGGGGGCAAGUAGAGUGGCGCACGGGUGAGUAACACGUAGGUAAUCUACCUUCGGAUGGGGAAUAACAAUCGGAAACGGUUGCUAAUACCGCAUAAUGCAGCGGCACCUAAUGGUGACAGUUGUUAAAGCGGGGGAUCGAAAGACCUCGCGUCUGAAGAGGAGCCUGCGGCGGAUUAGCUAGUUGGUAGGGUAACGGCUUACCAAGGCAACGAUCC
This 272-nucleotide ribosomal RNA is filed under the name uncultured soil bacterium. RNAcentral's name for it is "partial 16S ribosomal RNA". It matches the Rfam family "Bacterial small subunit ribosomal RNA", at positions 26 to 282 of the family's 1533-position model. The record is from RNAcentral.